CACAAAGAGAAAGUUAAGAUCUACGUAAAGAGCUUUAUUUAUUUAUCUGAUAUUAAAAUGUCUUUUAAAAAACGUCAUAGAGAUGAUAGUUGUUUGUAUUUCAUGCCAUUUUGCUUUAGCAACUUUCGUUGACAAAAUAAAGAUUUGGCAAUUCUAUGUCGGAAGGGAAGUUCCCAGGUCCAAAUACUUGGAGUUGUUGCUGGAGAGUCAUUGUGAUACGUGGAAAUAAGGGACAGGCACAACGUGGACAGGCACAACGCUGAUUACUUAACUCUUAGGAGGACAGGCAAAGAUUUGGAACUUCCAAACAAUUUCUGCGCACGAGGAUAGCAGAGGUAGCCCAUGCCUACAACGGAGGCUCCGGGGAAGUGCGGGGAGAGGCAGUUUGAUUUGUUUUGACGGCUUUAAUCCCCGGUUUCUCCCUUGAGAGGUGUGAACUCUUCAGGAGGCCUCCGGGUCUCUCCUGUACCGUGUGCUCCUUUUCCCUGCUAGCUGUUUCCCUGCGCGGCUCCUCCCUCCCCCGGAGGGGAUGGAAUGUGUCCUUUCUCCGCAUGCAGCUCUGACUUUAUCACCCAUCUUCCCGUCUUUCAAAGCAAGGGCUGACAACUGUGAUUUCUCAUCUCAUCUCCAGGUGCGAAGGAAAUUGCCCUUGUAAGUGUUAGCGGGGCCCAGGCCCCCCGCCCCUGGGCUUGCUGCAGCGCCUGUCAGCCGGAUGCGCGCUAAAGAGAUUAAAGACGGUGUGCUGGAACUUUCAAACAUCUUUGCCCAGAUCAGUCCAAAAUUCCGAAGUUAAGAACUUGCCUGAAUCAAUAUCAUAGUAAUUUCAAAUCUUAAGCUGUCCCUGCUAGGGUAUUUCAGUCAUUUCACGGAAACAAGACAGCCGCUGAGAGGCCCUAGAAACAAAGGUCUGUAAAGAGGACGGGGCGGGGCUGGAGCUGGUUUCUCAGGUGGGAAAGGGAUUCCAGGUCCUAAAUGGCAACAUUCAAUUAGCUCCAUCGCUUCUUAUUCUAGUUGGGAUUUUGCUCCGCACAUGGUAUGCCUGAGGCCUCACAGCAGUUUUAGUUGAAAAAGUGAACAACCAUAACAAAAGGAAAGAGGGGUCUCAGAGGCAGAGAGGACCACAGCCUGGAGAGGGUGGGGCUAACAGGGGAUGAGGACAUGGGGGCAGCUUCCAGGGCUGCCUCUGAAAGGGGUUUUCUAAUCUUCAGCCCCUGGAGACGUGGGCAGCGGUACUGAGCCGACUGCAGAGCCUGGAGGCUGGCCAAGGUGGAGAGAAUGAGAACUCAUUGUUGCUGAGGUGAUCACAACUUAGAAGACGAAACUGAGGCUUGGGCAAACAGCAGGGACUUGAAUUCUUGUCUUUGUUCCACCGUGUGACUUUGGGAGUGAUAUGCCACCCUCCUGGGCCCCAGUUCCCUCAGAAUGUGUCCAGAAAACGUUCCUUCCAGCUCUGACAUCUUAUUCUAGGACCCUAAGCUUCUUCUCACUGUUGUUCCCUCCCGCGAGGCAGCUCCCUGAAGUCUGGGGCUGUCACCCUGGCCUGGGCUGAGCUCUGGGUGACCCAGUGAGCAGAGCCCUGGGGGUAGGGAGGGAAGGGAGUGGGGCCUGAGCCAACUGGAGUCAGCAACUGGUCCAGCCACAAACCCGUGACAGCAGCCCACCACAAGACUAAGAAUCGCCCGAGGGGAUGGAUGGCAUCUGCAGACCAGUGCUCUAGAACAAACGGUGCUACCCAGAGGCGGCCAGCCCCUGUGCUCGACACACGAGCAGGUGAAAUUUAGGAGGCUAAGCUAGUUGUAGGAAUUUUUCUCAUGACACAAAUGCACACCCACCAGCUUCGUGCCCACCCUCGGGGCUUUGAUCCCCAUCUCCUAUUUACGGACUCCUUCCAUUUCCCUCCAGUCUUUUCCAAUUAUACUCACAGACGAAAGCUCAGACUCCUCCAAGAUCCUUUUUCUUGUCUUGAUUGCUGUUGUUAAUAAAGCAGAGACAAUGAAUUGAAUGCCUCCUGACGACCUCGCCCCACAACACAGAAUGACCUUGCUUGGAUAGAUUAUUAUUCAUUGUCUCCCAGAGUGGCAAGAUGUUGGGUAAAACUCAGAUUCCAACACAUGCCCCAGUAUGGAUGAACAUUGGGAACAUUAUGCUAAGUGAAGUAAGCCUGCCACAAAAGGACAUAAGUGUAUGAUUCUAUGUAUAUGAAAUACCUAGAGUAAUAAAUUUAUAGAGAGAAAGUAAGCCUGAGAUUUCAAAGGGCUGGGAGGGGUGUGUGUGUGUGUGUGUGGAGUUAGUGUUUAAUUGGUACAGAAUUUUAGUUUGGGAAGAUGAAACUUUUCUGGAGAUGGGCGGUGGUGAUAGUUGCACAUGGUGUGAAUAUUUAAUGCUACAGAACUGUAUACUUUAAAAUGGUAAAUUUUAUGUUACAUAUUUUCACCACAAUUUUACAAAGUAGAGGGCUAAAUCCUUGCACAAAGGAACCUAGUUUUGUCCUCUAGUGGAUUUCUUUAGCCAGGGUAUCAAAUUCUGGUUUAUUGAAUUUGUCACCAGCUCUGGUGAAUUCUCAUUUGCAUAGUCAAUAGGGUAUGUUGAUCCUUGACUUUGUUUUGAAUUUUUGAUGCUUUUUUUUAUAGUGGACUUCCGUGGGCUCCUGAGAUGGCUGUUAUCACACCGAACAGUGCCUUCCUUGCUCACCAAGGUUGUGACUCAGUGAUUAAGAAACUCAGGUACCUGAAGAGAGAGCCUUGGAAGAGUUUUACCAGGAAAAUAUAUGAAGCAAUAGAUGUACAACAACGCCUUACUGUUCUGGGGGAGUCAGAAUCCAGACCUACACCCAACAACGUGCCUCACGUUUCGUCUCCAGCAUUCUGAAAUACUUUUGAGUGCUCCGAGGAUCUGGCGGAUGAAACUCUGGGAAGUGAAGAAACAGAUGCCUAUCCCAGGACACCUGAGGCAAUCAUCCUGGAAACAUCCACUCUCCACGUUGUGCCUCAAAGGAUUUCUGAGCUGUGGCUGCAAAGUCCUUUUCC
Molecule: long non-coding RNA, 3026 nt
Organism: Manis pentadactyla (Chinese pangolin)
Lineage: Eukaryota; Metazoa; Chordata; Mammalia; Pholidota; Manidae
Exons: 3
Source: RefSeq, a predicted model, not a curated record